GAUGAACGCUGGCGGCGUGCCUAAUACAUGCAAGUCGAGCGAACAGACGAGGAGCUUGCUCCUCUGACGUUAGCGGCGGACGGGUGAGUAACACGUGGAUAACCUACCUAUAAGACUGGGAUAACUUCGGGAAACCGGAGCUAAUACCGGAUAAUAUAUUGAACCGCAUGGUUCAAUAGUGAAAGACGGUUUUGCUGUCACUUAUAGAUGGAUCCGCGCCGCAUUAGCUAGUUGGUAAGGUAACGGCUUACCAAGGCAACGAUGCGUAGCCGACCUGAGAGGGUGAUCGGCCACCCUGGAACUGAGACACGGUCCAGGCUCCUACGGGAGGCAGCAGUAGGGAAUCUUCCGCAAUGGGCGAAAGCCUGACGGAGCAACGCCGCGUGAGUGAUGAAGGUCUUCGGAUCGUAAAACUCUGUUAUUAGGGAAGAACAAAUGUGUAAGUAACUAUGCACGUCUUGACGGUACCUAAUCAGAAAGCCACGGCUAACUACGUG
Molecule: ribosomal RNA, 497 nt
Filed under: uncultured bacterium
Lineage: Bacteria
Description: partial 16S ribosomal RNA
Rfam family: Bacterial small subunit ribosomal RNA
Source: RNAcentral